UGUCUGGUUAGGUAGAAAAAAACAAAAAUUAUGUAUUGACUAAUUAUGUUUUAUUUUUAUCCAGCUCAAGGUUAGAAGCCAGAGGAGAGGUACGUGAAACUAUUUAGAACACACGAGGACGUGAACUUGAAAGAAUUGCGCGCUAUUCAAGUGAAAGUGCCUCUGGCACGUGCAUCACCUACCGGGAACGUGUUUCUAACCGUCAAACAAACUAGUCACCAAGGACUCUUCGUUGGUGAGAUUCACGAACGUGGUUGGGACGAAGGGAUUGCAACGACCGACAGUUGUGACGCCAAAGAGAAGUCUGAUCUCCGUUGCAGUAUUGCCUACGCUUAUUUAGUAACGGCCGUUAUUACCGAGAUGGCCUCGCCUUGACUUUUCUUUUGGGCGGAACCAGAACAACAAGCAAAAUAUUUCCGACUUCCUAAUUUACGACUCUCUCUUUUCUUCCUUGGCCAUCAUGGUCGGUUUCUUCAUACCUAGGCCAUACGCAGGUAGUGUGACUUAUAUAAAACACCCAAAAAUAUCAAGGCUCGUCUUCACGAAUGGCAAGGACUACGUGCUGGGAAGCUGGUGGAACGACUCCAAACGAUAAGUACGUGGCGUUUCAAUAGCAAUGUCAGGGCCAUCCUCUGAUGGACGAUUAGAAUUGGCUUCCCAAUUGAGAAACUUGCUACGAAAUCGUGACCAUAUCAGACUCACGUCGCUCCUUGUCCAACUUUGGGAUCUGAGAUACCCGACUAUGUGACAGCUCGCACGUCACUGUCUUUUAAGCUAGUGCCAAAACAAAUUCAUUUUCUGGCGCUAAAAACUUCUAGAAUGCAGCAUAAUGAUAUGAACGUUUUCAUUUUUAGCAGUCGAAAACAAGUUUCAGAUUAUUGCAAUACUAUGAGGAAGGACGUUUGUUUUGUAACUUUGCGCCAAGUCGCGUGACGAACGAAAAAGGAAGGCUGUUAAAUCGUACCACAUAGUUAUUUAAUAACCGCCUGUCAAUUUACGAUCUCUUCGUGCUGAUACUUUCAACUGUGCCUAGUUCAGGAUUGAGGGAAUAUUGAUUAAAAACGAUCAAAUGUGUGGUACAACAAUGGACACGUUGGAAGAUAUAGGGCAUCACGAAGUUGCUUGUUUAGAUGUCCAUCCUAAGUCUACAUUCACGAACUGGAAGAUUAUCAUAUUUCCAGCUGCUACUACAACACUAUCUCUUUUAUGUUGACCCGAUUGUCCAUCAAUGUUUGGUACUUCAUUCGUGGGCACAACACUCGGCAUUUCGCCUACUUUACUCAACAAAUUCAAAGGUAUUAAAACGGAACAAAAACAUGGACAGCUGAUUGAAUAACUUCAAACGUGGAAUGAGAAAUCGCAUUGCGCAUUUUAUUUGGUAAAACAUUUUUCACAGAACAAUUUUAAUCUAGCGUCCAACUCACUUCAC
Long non-coding RNA from Daphnia carinata, 1429 nucleotides. RefSeq lists it as uncharacterized. The transcript has 10 exons. The record is from RefSeq and is a predicted model, not a curated record. NCBI's taxonomy places the organism in Eukaryota, Metazoa, Arthropoda, Branchiopoda, Diplostraca, Daphniidae.